ACUUGCUUUCUUUGCUGGCGACCGGCGCACGGGUGAGUAACACGUAUCCAACCUGCCCUUUACUCGGGGAUAGCCUUUCGAAAGAAAGAUUAACACCCGAUAGUAUAAUGAUUCCGCAUGGUUUCAUUAUUAAAGGAUUCCGGUAAAGGAUGGGGAUGCGUUCCAUUAGGUUGUUGGUGAGGUAACGGCUCACCAAGCCUUCGAUGGAUAGGGGUUCUGAGAGGAAGGUCCCCCACAUUGGAACUGAGACACGGUCCAAACUCCUACGGGAGGCAGCAUG
Molecule: ribosomal RNA, 280 nt
Filed under: uncultured bacterium
Lineage: Bacteria
Description: partial 16S ribosomal RNA
Rfam family: Bacterial small subunit ribosomal RNA
Source: RNAcentral